ACAUUUUUUCUUGUCCUCUUCCCUCUUGUGGGAAUAAAGCGUCUCCACCAGGUGAUUCGGAAGCAGCUUGUGGAGGUUAGACAGCACCUCAAAGGUGUGACACAGAACUUCUGGCUGGGCAUAGUUUUUCGGCUUCUUACACUUGUCAAGGAGUGAAAAUUUCAUCACGCUGGAGCUGCUGCUGGCUGUUCUCAUGAUGCUGGUUGUAUCACAGAGAAGAACAAACUGAGAACAUGAGGAGUGGAUGGGGUGUGCAGUUGUUCUGGCAAGCUUUCCUCCAUCUCCAAGAUGAAGUGGAACCAGCUUUCUGAUCUCUUAUUGCCUGGCAUUCUGAGAGUCACAAUGGCCCAGGUAUUGGUCCGGAACCCUGCAUGUUCAUCCUGCAUUUUCCAAGCAGAGAAAACCAGCCCGUUGAAAAUAUCCUGCCAAGUCAUUUGGGGAUUUGUGGCAGAAACUCCAGUCUUGUGUCUGGACAUGGACCAUUUCUGGGGAAAACUGAGAGCUUUGCUAAAAGGAAGAGGGGAAAGCGGGGGCGCAUGUAUCCAGUGAUAUUUUCCCAUCUGGUACUUUGUAGAAGCCUUGCUCCCAGUAUGUACCUAAUUAAGGCUCCACAGACCUACGAGGCCCCAAGAGAGAGUGGUUACAUCAGUGCAGUCCUCAGCAGAACUGAGGAAAGAGCUUCAUCGUCCAAAACUGAGGAAAUGCCCAGAUUAACACAGGUGUUUUUGGUGGGAAGAAGGGGGUAGAAUAUUCUGGCAGCCGGAAGACAUAUCCCC
Molecule: long non-coding RNA, 776 nt
Filed under: Pan troglodytes (chimpanzee)
Lineage: Eukaryota; Metazoa; Chordata; Mammalia; Primates; Hominidae
Description: long non-coding RNA NONPTRT014955
Source: RNAcentral